Ursus americanus (American black bear) is the source of this 107-nucleotide small nuclear RNA. The record is from Ensembl. NCBI's taxonomy places the organism in Eukaryota, Metazoa, Chordata, Mammalia, Carnivora, Ursidae.
GCGCUUGUGUUGGCAGCACAUAUACUAAAAUUGGAGUGAUACAGAGAAAAUUAGCAUGGCCCCUGGGCAAGGAUGACAUGCAAAUUAGUUUUCCCAGCACAAUUUGU